Molecule: ribosomal RNA, 519 nt
Filed under: uncultured bacterium
Lineage: Bacteria
Description: bacterial SSU rRNA
Rfam family: Bacterial small subunit ribosomal RNA
Source: RNAcentral
GACGAACGCUGGCGGCGUGCCUAAUACAUGCAAGUCGAGCGGGCCAAACGUUUCCUUCGGGAAACGUGGGGUUAGCGGCGGACGGGUGAGUAACACGUGGGUAACCUGCCCAUAAGACUGGGAUAACAUUCGGAAACGAAUGCUAAUACCGGAUACGCGGUUUGGUCGCAUGGCCGAAUCGGGAAAGACGGAGCAAUCUGUCACUUAUGGAUGGACCCGCGGCGCAUUAGCUAGUUGGUGAGGUAACGGCUCACCAAGGCGACGAUGCGUAGCCGACCUGAGAGGGUGAUCGGCCACACUGGGACUGAGACACGGCCCAGACUCCUACGGGAGGCAGCAGUAGGGAAUCUUCCGCAAUGGACGAAAGUCUGACGGAGCAACGCCGCGUGAGUGAUGAAGGUUUUCGGAUCGUAAAGCUCUGUUGCCAGGGAAGAACGCUAUGGAGAGUAACUGCUCCAUAGGUGACGGUACCUGAGAAGAAAGCCCCGGCUAACUACGUGCCAGCAGCCGCAGUAAAAC